RNAcentral lists this transfer RNA (67 nucleotides) under Allacta bruna. RNAcentral's name for it is "tRNA-Tyr". Lineage: Eukaryota; Metazoa; Arthropoda; Insecta; Blattodea; Pseudophyllodromiidae. The record is from RNAcentral.
AGUAGAAUGGCUGAGGUUUAGGUAAUAAAUUGUAAAUUUAUUAAGGAAUAAUAUUAUUCUUCUGCUA